UACGUAGGGGGCAAGCGUUGUCCGGAGUUACUGGGCGUAAAGCGCACGCAGGCGGUCUGUUAAGUUUGGAGUGACAGUUGGUGGCUUAACUGCCAAAGUGCUUCGAAAACUGAUCGACUUGAGGGCUUCAGAGGGACACGGAAUUCCGGGUGGAGUGGUGAAAUGCGUAGAGAUCGGGAGGAACACCCGUGGCGAAGGCGAUGGCCUGGACCUCGAGCUGACGCUGAGGCGCGAAAGCGUGGGGAGCGAUCCGG
This 254-nucleotide ribosomal RNA is filed under the name uncultured bacterium. RNAcentral's name for it is "partial 16S ribosomal RNA". It matches the Rfam family "Bacterial small subunit ribosomal RNA", at positions 524 to 776 of the family's 1533-position model. The record is from RNAcentral.